Elaeis guineensis (African oil palm) is the source of this 1226-nucleotide non-coding RNA. The record is from RefSeq and is a predicted model, not a curated record. NCBI's taxonomy places the organism in Eukaryota, Viridiplantae, Streptophyta, Magnoliopsida, Arecales, Arecaceae.
CAAGUUUGUUUGCUGAAGCACUCAAAAUGAUGACCUUUGGAUAAAGACACAAAUCUGAAUCAAUUUUCCUUGAAAUCUUGAUUGAUAAAAGCAAUUCUUGACAAGGAAUUGACAAUAAUUCAAAGGGUUUGAGCUGCAGACCUCUUUCACCUCAUCUUCUAGUGCUGAAAAGAGGAAGGUAGAGCAUUAUUACAUGUCAAAGAAUAUCCCUAGCCGGGAAUCAAAGUUUUGGUCCGUCAUCUCUUCCCAGAACUCCUUUAAUUCAUCUUGUGUAAUUCCAUUCUCUGGUUCCAGGUUCCUCCGUCUUGCUAGGGCGGCAAAAAGCUCCCCAGCAAACUCCUUAGAAUCAGCCAUCCCUUUCAAAAGGAAUUCAGCUUGAAUAUUAGAACCGCAUAACUUCGUGCCUAGAUCUUUUGCUUCUAGUUCUCCCUACUUCGGCUAUUAUUUGUAUGGAAUGGAAAAUUUUACCUUGCAAACAUUAGUUAUCAUUGGUAUUGAGCUUGUGGUGCUUAUGUUAUGCUCGAUUAAGAUCCUUUUUUCCUCAGAAAUGCCCUUGAUUUUGCAUUGCUUAAUAUAAAUUUCCAUAGCAGUCAAAUCAAAUGUACACUGGUUCACAAAUCUAAUAUUCUUAUUCAAGUUGUUAUGAUCUAUAUGUUUAUAGUCUCUCUGUCUAUUCUACCAUAAUAUGAGAAUACAGAAAGGUGCUCUGACAUUGAUGGACCAAUAUACAGGUUGAUGCAGAGGGACAGUGUUUACAAGGACCUCAAAAGUGCUGAAAUACUGAGAAAGAUGAAGAUUUGCUUGAGGAAGCAAAGAGAGACUAACCAAUGCAGCGCCCGAAAUUCUCCUUGGGUAGCCUUCCAUUGACGGCAAAUUGGUCGAACCGCUUCUCCACCACCUUCCAUCCAUCCUCCUUCCCGCCCGUUGUUUUAUCGAGAAAGCGAAGGCUCUUGAGCCCCAAUUCUGCGUUAGACUGCGUCCUCCGCAUUCGCCUGCCAAAUGGAUGCCUCACUGCUUCCCUGACCGGCGCACGCGGUGAGAACCGUCUCAACUCCUUGAUCUUCUUGGGCUGGGACAUCAAAGUUCUUGCAAGGCUUCGCUGUGGUUCGACUCUCAGAGGUUUUGGGGCUGCUGAAUUCUGCACAAAUGGAAUUGAAGCUUCAUGAACCGAUCGGUUGUCCAUGCCGUGAAUCAUGAUGCUCUCAAGCUCAUGUGCUGAAGGAUCG